CAUCUAAGAAACAGAAAGCAUGGAUGUCCCGGAAGGCGUUUUCCAGCAAAGACACACCAACAAGAAGCAUCUCUCCUCUCCCUGUGAAUGUAAAUUCAGGAUGUCAAAGAACCAGCAAGAUACAGCUUUCCUGGUAGCUAGUCAGUGUGCCUUAGCCUUACAAAGGCAGGGCCUCUGGAGGUCUGAUGCUGUGACCACUUCCAGUGGAGAUGAGCUGACUGACUCGGCAGGAGGCUGCGUACCAAAAAGGGAGGGUGAAAUGUGCUGCCUGCCAAAGCAGCAGCUGGCGAGCAACAAACAGGAAUACUCCUGCGACAGUUCUCCUUACGGGUUCAACUAA
This 340-nucleotide long non-coding RNA is filed under the name Anser brachyrhynchus (Pink-footed goose). RNAcentral describes it as "lncRNA (ENSABRG00000017134.1)". The record is from RNAcentral. Lineage: Eukaryota; Metazoa; Chordata; Aves; Anseriformes; Anatidae.